GUUGCAACAGUUGCGAUAAACAACGCCACCAACGCAGCUUUGCUCGCUGUCCGGAUGUUGGGAAUUUCCGAUUCUGACCUUAUCUCCAGGAUGAGUCAGUACCAAGAAGACAUGAGAUCAGAGAACAUGGUUAAAGGCGAGAGGCUUGAAACUGAAGGCUGGGAAUCAUACUUGAACCAUUGAAUUUUCCGGUUCGUUUUCUCGCCGGAAAAUGUUCAUUCUCUCUUACAAGUCAGAAAUCGGGUUUUUCCCUGUUAAGAAGACUCGGAACGAUCCUUGAAUUCGUUUUUGCAGCCAGGAAAGUUCUCAAAGAGUGACCAACAUAAACCAAUGAUUGUACCAAUAGUUCUUGUACCAAUGAUUGUACCAAUAGUUCUUUUUUUCCGGUUAAGUUCCCUGGAUUGUCUUCCGGUUUAACUUUCGAAUUUCAAAUGGAUAUUUGAUUAAUUGAGAAUAAAUAUGUAUUGUUUACUUA
This is a long non-coding RNA of Tarenaya hassleriana, 475 nucleotides long. RefSeq lists it as uncharacterized. The transcript is spliced from 2 exons. Lineage: Eukaryota; Viridiplantae; Streptophyta; Magnoliopsida; Brassicales; Cleomaceae. The record is from RefSeq and is a predicted model, not a curated record.